Molecule: long non-coding RNA, 3491 nt
Organism: Stegodyphus dumicola
Lineage: Eukaryota; Metazoa; Arthropoda; Arachnida; Araneae; Eresidae
Source: RefSeq, a predicted model, not a curated record
GUGUGAAGUUUCUCGCCAAAAAUAUUUGGCGACUUGAGGGCACAUAUCAGAGUAGUUCCUAAAAAACUGCCAAUCCACACAAAACCGGAGAACAUAAUUAAAGAAUUAAAAGAUGUGGCGUUGGUAGUAGAUUUAUGGCGCAAAGCUAUAAAAGGCCAGAUGCGUUAAACACAGGAUUCGUUCUUCAACACAAAAACUAAAGUAAAAAUUUUAGAUAAAGAAAAUUGUCUAAAGAUAACAGCUCACUUAUAAAAUCGAGGUAAGUAAAAAGAUAUUGAAAUGAUGGGAUGAAAAUGCUGAUUAUGAUUCAGAUAAUGAGAUAUGCAGUAUAGAUAUAAAAUCCUAAAACAUCCGAUUCAUUAAAAUUCUAACACAAAAUCUUGAGACAAAAAUCAAACUAAAUAAUAGAAACCUCUUUCUUUCUGGUAGUAAAACAAACUGGUAUUGACCUCUCUUCCGAUUAAACGGUCGUGAGGCAGGUCGCAGCUUUAAAAUACUUCUCACGAAGACUAUUAAAAUACGGACACUCAAUUAAAAUGUGAUGGACCGAGAGACAAGCAUCACAAUUUGCAAACAGGCUCGUUCUCAGCUUUCAGAAGGUAGUUAUGUGUCACUCUAGUGUGACCAAUUCUAAGGAGAAUCAAAAGUACUUCCUCCUUACGAUUGCUAGUAGUAUCCCAAUGCUCUAUUUUAGGCCAUUCACCCUUCUCAACUUGUUAUGGAGUUGAAUGUCCCAAAGUUGCCAUUUUAUUCUGAUCUUCUCUAUAAUGACACAACAGAUAUUUCUAAAAGGGAUGAGGCGGCCGGACAUUUCUACAGCAGAUUUCACUGUGAUGUCCGCCAGCUCAUUGCCUUUUAUUCCUGUAUGUCGUCCAGAAACCCAGCAGUACAGAAUUUUAUAUCCACAACUUGUUAAUUUAAUAUUGAACUUGAGUACAUCCACUAUCGCAGGAUUCUUGGUGCUAGAAAAGGAUUCUAAAGCUUUCAAUGCACUGUAGGAGUCUGUACAUAUGAUUUUUCCAUGGUGCAGCAUGGAGAUGUACAAAAGCGCAUAAUAUAUGGCAGUCAUAUAGUCAUUACUGUGUCUUAAUAUGGCAGUCAGUUCGGAAGUUAAGACCGAGGAAGCAUUGUGUGAACAUCUGCCCUCCAUGUGGUCACCAAUUAUAAAUGACAUCCGAACAUGACAAGCUGACUUAGAUCCAUCCGUAUACAUAGAAAGAUAACUGCUGUAACAAUGCCUGUGCUCAUCAAAAAUUGUCUGUAGAUGCUCUCAUUAGUAGUUGUUUUGACGUAACUGUGGAUAAUAUCAAGAAAUUGGAUUUGUGCAUUUUCCCAAGGUGCGAUUUCAAAAUCCUGUACUGCUUGUGGGGACAUAUCAGACAGGGACAAUUCUUCAAUAAGGAUACGAAGUCUCGCAGGAAAAGAAGGCACACAGGAUGGACAUGCCUCAAAUAAAACGUCCCAUCUAUUUUUAAGUAAACACAAUUUAUCAGGAUGGUCAGGUUGAGAUAAAAUAUUAAAAUACUGUAAAAGAGGCAACUCCUCACGCCUCAAACGGAGUGAUGGUUCAUAACAGUCAACAUAAAGGCUCUGGACAGGAGACAUCCUGAAGACUCCAGAACAAAUCUGCAGAGCCUGAUGAUGAAAAGGAUCUAGUUUUUACAACACUGAAGACCGAGCGGAUCUGCCAACAGCCGAGCCGUAGUCUAGUCUUGAGUGAACAAGAGCUGUGUAAAUACGAAGCAUGGAUCAACACUCUGCACCCCAGGAGGUGUUUGACAGGACUUUUAAAUAUUUAAAAUUUUUGUACACUUCUUUCUCAAGUUUAGGACAUGAGGAAGGAAAGUCAAUUUUUGGUCGAACAUCACCCCUAAAAAUUUUACUUCAGAUGCUACUGGAAUCACAGACCCAUUAAGGUAUAAUUUAGGCUCAGGAUGGAGACCUCGCUUUGUACAAAAGUGCACGGACACAGUCUUCUGUUUUGAAAACGUAAAUCCUUGUGUGUUCGCCCAUUCCUGGAUCUGGAGCUGCCUCUCUACACGUCUCAUAUUCCUGCCUCGACAGCUAAUUUGUAGAUCAUCAACAUAUAAAGAUCUGAAAUGGUGGGAGGAAGUUGUUUUUAUACAGAAUUUAUUUUUAGGCUUAACAGAGUUACACCAAGCACACAGCCUUGAGGCACACCCUCUUCCUGUUUGAAAACUUCUGACUUGAAAAAUUCUAGCUACCCAAAAAAUUCUGAAUGAAAAAUGGUAGGUUGCCAGGCGAGCCACAAUCAUAAAGAUCCUGAAGUGUACUGUAUCCCAAAAAAGAUUACAACAGAAAUUCAAUUUAAUGAAGUUCACUGAAGAAUACUUUUCAAUACAAUAGCACUGUGGAUACUGUCAAUGAAGGUAAGCGAUGUACAUUUGAGACAAUAAAGCAGCUUUAAACUGGAUUUGAAAGACAUUUCAUUUCAUUUGACUAAAAACAUAUCCAUACUGCUCCAUUUAUUACUUCCUUAGAUCCAGUGUUCACUUUUGUAUUCGCAUGAGGUGUUUCAAGCAUUUAUGUUUCAAACAUACAUUGUUUUGUUAUAAGUGUCCCAAGUAAGGGGGUUCAUUUCCCUAUAUUUCAAUUUAAUACUCAGAAAAUGUUCAAUUUUUGAAGUAUUUACCAUCUUUAUAAAUACUGAGCUUUCUUUCACAGUUUUACAUAAAUACUUUCAAAAGACAAGAAACUUCAAAUUCUUCACACGAUUUUGCUUCAAUGUAAAUUUUCUAAGCGCAAACCACUAUCAGAAUAGAUAUUUAGAACCUGGCAUAUAUCAGUUUUUUUUAAUUGAACAUAUUUCUGAUCCUACAAAAACAUUUUCACGACCAUAUCAUGCAGCAGUAACACAAUUCGAUUCAACCACAUUUUCAAAAUCCAGGAAUAUUUACACACAUAGGGCAUAGUCUCGCGAGUUUAAUCCAAGUAGUACUCAAAAUAAUCACAAGAUUAGGCGAACUGUGGGUCACCUGUGUAGGCGCCUAGGCUUUGUAGAAUUACCCUGCGUCGAGCUUGCUGUAAAAGAUAACCAUAGCAUGACACGUGAAAAUUGCUAUCCGGGAGAAACACAGGUCAAAAGUAUGUAAUACGAUAAACAUUUCACAAACUUCAAGUGUACCAACGGAGGUAACAAUAACAAAAAAAUGGUUACAAUCAUCCACGCCGCUCUUCCCCGGCUGUGUCUACCCGUACGACGUCGGACGUUUAGCUGAAACAUGGUAAAAAUGCUAAACGUACGACUAGUUGCGCAGAGACACUUUCGUGAUUUCUGCGCAUUCCGACCAGUCGUAAAGAGAUGUUUGUUUAUAUUUGUGUUGAUUAUCGGAAGGGUGAAUUGCUUUUCCGUGUAGUGCUAGAAUAUCAAGAAAAAGUUAUUUUUUAUUUCGUUUGAUGACUAAUUACUAUCAUUCUUUGAUAGAUAUCUAAAACAUUAUAUAAAAUAAAGAACUUUGAAUAUAUCUGAA